CGAAACUGCGAAUGGCUCAUUAUAUAAGUUAUCGUUUAUUUGAUAGUACCUUACUACUUGGAUAACCGUGGUAAUUCUAGAGCUAAUACAUGCUAAAAAUCCCGACUUCGGAAGGGAUGUAUUUAUUAGAUUAAAAACCAAUGCCCUCUGGGCUCCUUGGUGAUUCAUAAUAACUUUUCGAAUCGCAUGGCCUUGCGCCGGCGAUGGUUCAUUCAAAUUUCUUCCCUAUCAACUUUCGAUGUUUGGGUAUUGGCCAAACAUGGUCGCAACGGGUAACGGAGGGUUAGGGCUCGACCCCGGAGAAGGAGCCUGAGAAACGGCUACUACAUCCAAGGAAGGCAGCAGGCGCGCAAAUUACCCAAUCCCGAUUCGGGGAGGUAGUGACAAUAAAUACUGAUACAGGGCUCUUUUGGGUCUUGUAAUUGGAAUGAGUACAAUUUAAAUCCCUUAACGAGGAACAAUUGGAGGGCAAGUCUGGUGCCAGCAGCCGCGGUAAUUCCAGCUCCAAUAGCGUAUAUUAAAGUUGUUGUGGUUAAAAAGCUCGUAGUUGAACCUUGGGCCUGGCUGGCCGGUCCGCCUCACCGCGUGUACUGGUCCGGCCGGGCCUUUCCCUCUGUGGAACCUCAUGCCCUUCACUGGGUGUGGCGGGGAAACAGGACUUUUACUUUGAAAAAAUUAGAGUGCUCCAGGCAGGCCUAUGCUCGAAUACAUUAGCAUGGAAUAAUGAAAUAGGACGUGUGGUUCUAUUUUGUUGGUUUCUAGGACCGCCGUAAUGAUUAAUAGGGACAGUCGGGGGCAUCAGUAUUCAAUUGUCAGAGGUGAAAUUCUUGGAUUUAUUGAAGACUAACUACUGCGAAAGCAUUUGCCAAGGAUGUUUUCAUUAAUCAGGAACGAAAGUUAGGGGAUCGAAGACGAUCAGAUACCGUCGUAGUCUUAACCAUAAACUAUGCCGACUAGGGAUCGGACGAUGUUAUUUUUUGACGCGU
This 986-nucleotide ribosomal RNA is filed under the name Akanthomyces attenuatus. RNAcentral describes it as "SSU rRNA". It matches the Rfam family "Eukaryotic small subunit ribosomal RNA", at positions 82 to 1079 of the family's 1831-position model. Lineage: Eukaryota; Fungi; Ascomycota; Sordariomycetes; Hypocreales; Cordycipitaceae. The record is from RNAcentral.